This is a long non-coding RNA of Haliotis rubra (blacklip abalone), 290 nucleotides long. RefSeq lists it as uncharacterized. Lineage: Eukaryota; Metazoa; Mollusca; Gastropoda; Lepetellida; Haliotidae. The record is from RefSeq and is a predicted model, not a curated record. The transcript has 3 exons.
CGACGUGGCACUCAUCCCCAUCACUCGACCGGCUGCCGACGAAGAAGCGUUUGUUUGUCGCAAAGGUUUCCACACUUUGAACGUCCAAGCCAUUUGCGAUUCAACCUUGAGAUUUACCAACAUAGUAUGUAAAUGGCCAGGUAGUACCCAUGACAGCUUCAUAUUCAGUAAUAGCAGAAUAGGAGAAAUACUCGAGAGAAGAGCUGGUGGAGAUGGCUGGCUGCUGGGCGAUUCUGGAUAUGCAUGCAGAUCUUGGCUGUUGACGCCAUAUGUCAACCCAAGCCCAGGGG